GACUAACAUGUAUAGUGGUUUGAGUGUUGGACUAUGACUCUGGAGAACAGGGUUCAAGUCCCUGCUUGGCCA
Molecule: non-coding RNA, 72 nt
Organism: Phrynosoma platyrhinos (Desert horned lizard)
Lineage: Eukaryota; Metazoa; Chordata; Lepidosauria; Squamata; Phrynosomatidae
Source: the annotation of a GenBank genome assembly